AACGAACGCUGGCGGCAGGCCUAACACAUGCAAGUCGAGCGCACCUUCGGGUGAGCGGCGGACGGGUUAGUAACGCGUGGGAAUAUGCCCUUCACUACGGAAUAGCCUUUGGAAACGAAGAGUAAUACCGUAUACGCCCUUCGGGGGAAAGAUUUAUCGGUGAAGGAUUAGCCCGCGUCUGAUUAGAUAGUUGGUGGGGUAACGGCCUACCAAGUCGACGAUCAGUAGCUGGUUUGAGAGGAUGAUCAGCAACACUGGGACUGAGACACGGCCCAGACUCCUACGGGAGGCAGCAGUGGGGAAUCUUAGACAAUGGGCGAAAGCCUGAUCUAGCCAUGCCGCGUGAGUGACGAAGGCCCUAGGGUCGUAAAGCUCUUUCGCCAGGGAUGAUAAUGACAGUACCUGGUAAAGAAACCCCGGCUAACUCCGUGCCAGCCGCCGCCGUAACAC
Molecule: ribosomal RNA, 450 nt
Filed under: uncultured bacterium
Lineage: Bacteria
Description: bacterial SSU rRNA
Rfam family: Bacterial small subunit ribosomal RNA
Source: RNAcentral